Long non-coding RNA from Lutra lutra (Eurasian river otter), 673 nucleotides. RefSeq lists it as uncharacterized. The record is from RefSeq and is a predicted model, not a curated record. The transcript has 3 exons. Lineage: Eukaryota; Metazoa; Chordata; Mammalia; Carnivora; Mustelidae.
GGCCUUUCCAAUCUUUACCUCUUUUACCAAGUAUCACAGAAGAAUUUUAUUUCAAGGGACCAAAGCAGUGGGAAGAGAAUGGGAGAGAGACUCUAAGAGAUGGCUUCUCAAAGACAUUAUUAUUUAAAGAGAAAAUUAGGAAGCAAGGAAAGACAGGAAGUCUGGACCCCUGAAAGUCCCCUGCAUUGCAUUAGUGGUUGAGCCCUGAGCCAAGUUCUCUGCAAAGGACAAUCUGCAACGGGCAUGUGGCACAUGUUCAGUCCUCUCUCCCAGAUAAAAGAAGUUCUCUAACAAGGAAUGAGUGGCAAGUGAGUGACUUGUGAACAGAAGACGGAAAUGUUCUUCCCGUAUCUUUCCCUCCGCAAGAGUGGACCACAAUGGUAUGUUCAACCCCUCCAAGAAAAAGAAAAAGAAAAGAAAAGUUUGUUGUGCAUGUCUGUAAUUUUAGGGACACGUAGAAAGCUCCCUGCUCCUCUAAACAGGGAGCAUUUUACCGGCAUUUUCACCAUUACCCUAUUACUUAUUUAACCAUUUCUUAUACACUUCUUUCCUCUCUCGAAAAUAUAGAAGAGUAGCCACUAAUUAUAUUUGUUAAUCAAGGGAUAAAAUUUUCAUUUCUGCACAGUGAAAUUGUAUGUUUCAAACUAUUUUGCUAAUCUGAAACUUAAUCCAU